Molecule: ribosomal RNA, 253 nt
Filed under: uncultured bacterium
Lineage: Bacteria
Description: partial 16S ribosomal RNA
Rfam family: Bacterial small subunit ribosomal RNA
Source: RNAcentral
UACGUAGGGAGCAAGCGUUGUCCGGAAUCAUUGGGCGUAAAGCGCGCGUAGGUGGCCAUGUAAGUCCGCUGUGAAAGUCGAAGGCUCAACCUUCGAAAGCCGGUGGAUACUGCAUGGCUAGAGUACGGAAGAGGCGAGUGGAAUUCCUGGUGUAGCGGUGAAAUGCGCAGAUAUCAGGAAGAACACCCGUGGCUAAGGCGGCUCUCUAGUACGGUACUGACGCUGAGACGCGAAAGCGUGGGGAGCGAACAGG